GGCUAUAUAGCCUAAGCAAGGCAUUUGAGUUGCAAUCAGACCAUGUAUUAUAUACUGUAGCCA
Molecule: transfer RNA, 63 nt
Filed under: Hediste diadroma
Lineage: Eukaryota; Metazoa; Annelida; Polychaeta; Phyllodocida; Nereididae
Also listed under: 1 other name
Description: tRNA-Ala
Source: RNAcentral